This 468-nucleotide ribosomal RNA is filed under the name uncultured bacterium. RNAcentral's name for it is "partial 16S ribosomal RNA". It matches the Rfam family "Bacterial small subunit ribosomal RNA", at positions 28 to 507 of the family's 1533-position model. The record is from RNAcentral.
GACGAACGCUGGCGGCGUGCUUAACACAUGCAAGUCGAACGGAAAGGCCCUGCUUUUGUGGGGUGCUCGAGUGGCGAACGGGUGAGUAACACGUGAGUAACCUGCCCUUGACUUUGGGAUAACUUCAGGAAACUGGGGCUAAUACCGGAUAGGAGCUCCUGCUGCAUGGUGGGGGUUGGAAAGUUUCGGCGGUUGGGGAUGGACUCGCGGCUUAUCAGCUUGUUGGUGGGGUAGUGGCUUCCCAAGGUUUUGACGGGUAGCCGGCCUGAGAGGGUGACCGGCCACAAUGGUACUAAGGUACGGCCCAGUCUGCUACGGGAGGCAGCAGUGGAAAAUAUUGCACAAUGGGCGGACGCCUGAUGUAGCGGCCCCGCGUGCGGGAUGACGGCCUUCGGGUUAUGAACCGCUUUCGCCUGUGACGAGGCGUGAGUGACGGUAAUGGGUAAAGAAGCACCGGCUAACUACGUG